Molecule: long non-coding RNA, 612 nt
Filed under: Mus musculus (house mouse)
Lineage: Eukaryota; Metazoa; Chordata; Mammalia; Rodentia; Muridae
Description: predicted gene 3924
Source: RNAcentral
UGCUAUGUGUUGCGUGCCUACUGUGUGCCAAUGUGUUCUGGAUAGCUUUAGAGUCUGUGAUAAAGUUGUCACCUUAUGUAUACUAUACUAUCUCUCCUAGUCUACAAACUGGGGAAACUGAGGCUUAGGAGGUGACUUGCUUGAAAUAAGCCAAGUGUCAGACUCUAGCCUAGCAUUCUUCCCACCAAAAACCUGGUGUCUGCAGUGCUGCUGGGAUGUGCUUGCUAGGAUGGGCACAUGGAGUGAAUGCCAGUUCUGUGCCAGCUGCCGAGUGCUGAGAUUACAGGCACGUGUAGGCUGCUGCCUUCUGGGGACCGCCUUCAAUGGGGACCGCCUUCAAUGGGGACCACCUUCAAUGGGGACCACCUUCAAAGCUUGACUGAACCCAGUGCUUGCUGCACACUGCUUCGCACUCUGCCACAUGAGCUGCACGCAGCCCUAGUAACCUGAUUUUAGAACUUCUCAUCAACCCCAGAAGAAACUCGGUACCACCUAUUAGUGUUCUCGUCUCUGUCUCUCCACCACCCUUAGACCUAAGCAAACAGCGAGCUGUGCUUUGUCUUUAUAAAUUUGUUGAUUCCUGGCAUUUUAUAUAAACAGAGGUAUAAUAUA